Molecule: ribosomal RNA, 497 nt
Filed under: uncultured bacterium
Lineage: Bacteria
Description: partial 16S ribosomal RNA
Rfam family: Bacterial small subunit ribosomal RNA
Source: RNAcentral
GAUGAACGCUGGCGGCGUGCCUAAUACAUGCAAGUCGAGCGAACAGACGAGGAGCUUGCUCCUCUGACGUUAGCGGCGGACGGGUGAGUAACACGUGGAUAACCUACCUAUAAGACUGGGAUAACUUCGGGAAACCGGAGCUAAUACCGGAUAAUAUAUUGAACCGCAUGGUUCAAUAGUGAAAGACGGUUUUGCUGUCACUUAUAGAUGGAUCCGCGCCGCAUUAGCUAGUUGGUAAGGUAACGGCUUACCAAGGCAACGAUGCGUAGCCGACCUGAGAGGGUGAUGGGCCACAGUGGGACUGAGACACGGUCCAGACACCGACGGGAGGCAGCAGUAGGGAAUCUUCCGCAAUGGGCGAAAGCCUGACGGAGCAACGCCGCGUGAGUGAUGAAGGUCUUCGGAUCGUAAAACUCUGUUAUUAGGGAAGAACAAAUGUGUAAGUAACUAUGCACGUCUUGACGGUACCUAAUCAGAAAGCCACGGCUAACUACGUG